Molecule: ribosomal RNA, 292 nt
Filed under: uncultured bacterium
Lineage: Bacteria
Description: partial 16S ribosomal RNA
Rfam family: Archaeal small subunit ribosomal RNA
Source: RNAcentral
GUGCCAGCAGCGCGGUACUACCGGCAGCCCGAGUGAUGGCCGAUCUUCUUGGGCCUCAAGCGUCCGUAGCUGGCCGCGCCAGUCCGUCGGGAAAUCCACUCGCCCAACGAGUGGGCGUCCGACGGAACCUGCACAGCUUGGGACCGGAAGGCUCGAAGGGUACGUUCGGGGUAGGAGUGAAAUCCCAUAAUCCCGCACGGACCACCGAUGGCGAAAGCACUUCGAGAAAACGGAUCCGACAGUGAGGGACGAAAGCCAGGGUCUCCAACCGGAUUAGAAACCCUAGUAGUCC